RNAcentral lists this ribosomal RNA (465 nucleotides) under uncultured Klebsiella sp. RNAcentral's name for it is "bacterial SSU rRNA". It matches the Rfam family "Bacterial small subunit ribosomal RNA", at positions 338 to 795 of the family's 1533-position model. Lineage: Bacteria; Pseudomonadati; Pseudomonadota; Gammaproteobacteria; Enterobacterales; Enterobacteriaceae. The record is from RNAcentral.
CCUACGGGGGGCAGCAGUGGGGAAUAUUGCACAAUGGGCGCAAGCCUGAUGCAGCCAUGCCGCGUGUGUGAAGAAGGCCUUCGGGUUGUAAAGCACUUUCAGCGGGGAGGAAGGCGGUGAGGUUAAUAACCUCAUCGAUUGACGUUACCCGCAGAAGAAGCACCGGCUAACUCCGUGCCAGCAGCCGCGGUAAUACGGAGGGUGCAAGCGUUAAUCGGAAUUACUGGGCGUAAAGCGCACGCAGGCGGUCGGUCAAGUCGGAUGUGAAAUCCCCGGGCUCAACCUGGGAACUGCAUUCGAAACUGGCAGGCUAGAGUCUUGUAGAGGGGGGUAGAAGUCCAGGUGUAGCGGUGAAAUGCGUAGAGAUCUGGAGGAAUACCGGUGGCGAAGGCGGCCCCCUGGACAAAGACUGACGCUCAGGUGCGAAAGCGUGGGGAGCAAACAGGAUUAGAUACCCCAGUAGUC